UACGGAGGGGACUAGCGUUGUUCGGAAUUACUGGGCGUAAAGCGUGUGUAGGCGGCCAAGAAAGUCGGAUGUGAAAGCCCUGGGCUCAACCCAGGAAGUGCACCCGAUACUGCUUGGCUAGAGUAUCGGAGAGGUUGGUGGAAUUCUCGGUGUAGAGGUGAAAUUCGUAGAUAUCGAGAGGAACACCGGUGGCGAAGGCGGCCAACUGGACGAAUACUGACGCUGAGACACGAAAGCGUGGGGAGCAAACAGG
This 253-nucleotide ribosomal RNA is filed under the name uncultured bacterium. RNAcentral's name for it is "partial 16S ribosomal RNA". It matches the Rfam family "Bacterial small subunit ribosomal RNA", at positions 524 to 776 of the family's 1533-position model. The record is from RNAcentral.